This is an RNA transcript of Solanum verrucosum, 1495 nucleotides long. It is a transcript of the gene named dnaJ protein homolog, with no coding region annotated. The record is from RefSeq and is a predicted model, not a curated record. The transcript is spliced from 6 exons. NCBI's taxonomy places the organism in Eukaryota, Viridiplantae, Streptophyta, Magnoliopsida, Solanales, Solanaceae.
UGAUCAAUUGAUUAAUUGAAUUUACACUUUUGUAGUGAAUUUUGAUUGCUAAUUUUGUAGAUCUGUUCGUUGAUUUUGUUUGGUUCAGAUCAAUUUUUAUUGACGUAGUUGAACCGAUCGAAAGAUGUUUGGAAGAGCACCGAAGAAGAGUGAUAAUACUAAGUAUUAUGAGAUCUUAGGAGUUCCUAAGGCUGCUUCUCAGGAAGAUCUCAAAAAGGCUUAUCGUAAAGCCGCCAUCAAAAAUCAUCCUGAUAAGGGAGGCGAUCCUGAAAAGUUUAAAGAGCUUGCUCAAGCUUAUGAGGUCUUGAGUGACCCAGAGAAGCGUGAGAUAUAUGAUCAGUAUGGAGAGGAUGCUCUAAAGGAAGGAAUGGGUGGUGGAGGUGGUGGACAUGACCCAUUUGAUAUAUUUCAAUCAUUCUUUGGUGGUGGUGGAAGCCCCUUUGGUGGUGGGGGAAGCAGCAGAGCUCGCAGACAAAGAAGAGGAGAGGAUGUUAUCCACCCUCUCAAGGUUUCUUUGGAGGAUCUUUACAAUGGGACAUCAAAGAAGCUUUCACUAUCUCGCAAUGUGUUGUGCUCAAAGUGCAAGGGUAAAGGGUCCAAGUCAGGUGCUUCAAUGAAGUGUUCUGGCUGUCAAGGGUCUGGAAUGAAAGUUUCUAUCAGACAGCUCGGUCCAUCCAUGAUCCAGCAGAUGCAGCACCCUUGCAAUGAGUGUAAGGGUACUGGUGAGACAAUCAGUGACAAAGAUAGGUGCCCUCAGUGUAAGGGUGAGAAGGUUGUGCAGGAGAAGAAGGUGUUGGAAGUUCACGUGGAGAAGGGUAUGCAGAAUGGGCAGAAAGUAACAUUUCCUGGCGAGGCAGAUGAAGCGCCAGAAACCAUCACUGGAGACAUUGUUUUUGUUUUGCAACAAAAGGAACAUCCUAAGUUCAAGCGAAAGGGAGAUGAUCUUUUUGUUGAGCACACAUUGACCUUGACCGAGGCCCUAUGUGGUUUCCAGUUUGUCUUGACUCACCUAGACAACAGACAGCUGCUCAUUAAGUCCCAACCUGGCGAAGUUGUCAAGCCUGAUCAGUUUAAGGCUAUCAAUGAUGAAGGAAUGCCAAUGUACCAAAGGCCUUUCAUGAGAGGUAAAAUGUACAUUCACUUCACUGUUGAUUUCCCCGAGUCAUUAACACCAGAGCAGUGCAAGAACCUUGAGGCUGUGCUGCCUCCAAGACCCAAAUUGCAAGUGUCUGAUAUGGAAUUAGACGAGUGCGAGGAGACUACUUUGCAUGAUGUGAACAUUGAGGACGAGAUGCGAAGGAAGCAGCAAGCUGCCCAAGAGGCAUACGACGAAGAUGAUGAUAUGCCUGGUGGUGCACAGAGAGUCCAAUGUGCACAGCAGUAAUUUGGUAUUUGCUAUCUUGUGAUAUUGGGUAGAUUACUUACCAGUAAAGGAUAUGGAUAUUUUUUCUUAUGCAGACCGACACUAAGUGUGCUUACAUGUUUACGCAAUUUG